GGAUGAACGCUGGCGGCGUGCUUAAUACAUGCAAGUCGAACGAAGAGCUUUGUAGUAAUACGAGGUUUCUUAGUGGCGAACGGGUGAGUAACGCGUUGGUGACCUGCCCCAAAGUGAGGGAUAACAGUUCGAAAGAAUUGCUAAUACCCCAUGUGGUCAUCGGGAUUAGAAUCUGAUGACUAAAGCAGUAAUGCGCUUUGGGAGGGACCUGCGUCCCAUCAGCUAGUUGGUGAGGUAAUGGCUCACCAAGGCGACGACGGGUAAGGGACCUGAGAGGGUGGUCCCUCACAAUGGCACUGAAACACGGGCCAUACACCUACGGGUGGCAGCAGUAGGGAAUAUUGGGCAAUGGGCGAAAGCCUGACCCAGCAAUGCCGCGUGCACGAUGAAGGCCAUCGGGCCGUAAAGUGCUUUUCUGGGAGAUGAGAAAGGACAGUAUCCCAGGAAUAAGUCUCGGCUAACUACGUGCCAGCAGCCGCGGUAAAACGUAGGAGACGAGCGUUAUCCGGAUUUACUGGGCGUAAAGCGCGUGUAGGCGGUUCGGCAAGUUGGAUGUGAAAUCUCCCGGCUCAACUGGGAGGGGUCGUUCAAUACUACCGGACUUGAGAGCAGUAGAGGAAGGUGGAAUUCCCGGUGUAGUGGUGAAAUGCGUAGAUAUCGGGAGGAACACCAGUGGCGAAAGCGGCCUUCUGGACUGUUUCUGACGCUCAGACGCGAAAGCUAGGGUAGCGAACGGGAUUAGAGACCCCGGUAGUCCUAGCCGUAAACGAUGCAAACUUGGCGUCGGCGGGUUCAAAUCUGUCGGUGCCGAAGCUAACGCGAUAAGUUUGCCGCCUGGGAACUACGGCCGCAGGGUAAAACUCAAAG
This 867-nucleotide ribosomal RNA is filed under the name uncultured bacterium. RNAcentral's name for it is "bacterial SSU rRNA". It matches the Rfam family "Bacterial small subunit ribosomal RNA", at positions 27 to 906 of the family's 1533-position model. The record is from RNAcentral.